UGAAAGUGCACAGGACUCUUGUUAUAUGUAAAGAUAGGAAUGGAAAGACUUCUGUGACACACUCCCAGUUAGUUCUUUGAACUCAUUCCGAGCCAACAAUCCUCUCCUGAGUUAGCCUCAAAAAUUGUUUUUAUCGCUCUGUCAGUUUGCUCCUCUACUAGGUCCGCUGCAGUUUUGUUGAAGACAAAGAGUCGGAAACCCCCUGACUUGAAAGAGCACGUGUUACUGAGUCCUCACAGUCGUUUGUCGCCUCAGCACCGACACCGGUAUUUCCAGUCCUCUCUCUGUCUGGCGCCCAGGGAAACGUGCCGUAGUCAGACUAGGAGGGCGCAGAGGUGCUCAACUAUCCGUUGAUGGAAUGAAUGAACGAACAAAUGAAUGAAUAGCGUAUGCCUCCUUCUUUUCUGGGAACAAGCCCUAUUUACAGGAGAGGCUCCAAGGCUGACCUGCUGCUUGGCCAAAGCUGAUUGAUCGAGGGGUGGACACGGAACCCAAUCCAGGCCAAUCAUGUCUUUUUUCUGGGAAUUUAAAAUUUGGAACCGGAAAAAAAGAGACUGGGCACUGCUGAGUCCCUCUGUGCUCUAGAGAGCAGCCUGCUGCUCCUGCUGUUUGGUACCAAAGGCAUUGGUUUCUGCUCUUCUCUGCUUUCUUGAAUCGGAUAAAGAUCUACAUAUAUAACUAUUAAAUAACAACGCGAAAGUAUUUCGAUUAAGUGCCAAAAUGCGAAGUAGAGACUAUAAGUGCUGUAAAAGGUCACAAUCUGGAGAGAUCAGCGAAGGCUAGCUUCACUGUAUCUUGUUGCCCUGGCUUGCUUUCUUGAGGAGAGCUACUGUGAAUGUCAUUGUAUUUUCCAAGCCACAAGUUGCAGUAUAGCAGUCCCCCCUUAUCUGUGGUUUCACUUUUCACAGUUUCAGUUACCUGUGGUCAACCACGGUCUGAAAAUAUUUAAUGGAAAAUUCCAGAAAUAAAC
This 970-nucleotide long non-coding RNA is filed under the name Equus caballus (horse). RNAcentral describes it as "lncRNA (ENSECAG00000054543.1)". Lineage: Eukaryota; Metazoa; Chordata; Mammalia; Perissodactyla; Equidae. The record is from RNAcentral.